This 28-nucleotide non-coding RNA is filed under the name Mus musculus (house mouse). The record is from RNAcentral. Lineage: Eukaryota; Metazoa; Chordata; Mammalia; Rodentia; Muridae.
UUGUCUUGUUAAUAAAUAAGCCCCUGAA